UAGCAACUCCAUCCCUAAAAAAGGAAAACUUAAAACUAAAUUUAUAUAUAAAGUUAAAACACGUUGUGGUAUCUUUUUCACGUUGGACUAUGUGAACCAAGUGAAAACUACGUAAAAUACUCUUUGACUGCUUUUGGCAUACAAAUUCUUUGAUUUUUAUGAAAAGUUUCUCUAAAAACAGGAAAAAUCGUGCAGAAAGUAUAGACACACCUUAGACUGCAAAGUAAUACUGGCCCAAUUUGAGUUAAGCCCAGUUUUGACAGAUUAACCACGAGAUAAAGAAAAAACCAGGAGAAUGUUGCAACUAAAGAAGUAGAAUUCCCCGAGAAGGAAGCCACCAUAUCUAUUCUCUAACGAAAAAUCAUCAGCCACAAAGAGAUACAAAUUCAGGUUGGAAUUAUACUUGAUGACAAGAUGUUGUUCCUAGCAAUCAAAUCGCUAUAUUUUUAACCCAACUGUAGGAAGGAGAAGGGCCGAUUACAGCUAAGGGAUAGAUAUUACAGACUCAAAAGCAUCGUGAUAAAAGCGGUCUGACAUGCUUUAUUCGUUGAGAAGGAUAUACAAACAUGUGGCUUGGAAGUUAAGGGAUCACUACAUCAAUUGAAGCAUAUGAUAGCAAUAGCACACGCACGUGUUAAGAAUGUAAACAACACCGAUGUACAUAAUAACGACGGCAUCAGAUUUUCCAUGCCGUCAUAUAGAUUUUAAGUAUUUUUAUAUGUAUAAGUUAUUAUUAAGUUAGAAACAUAAGAAUAGAGAAAAAAGAUUCAGUCAUUGUUUUGACAUGAACGAAGAGUGUUUGUUUUAAUCUGGCGCAGUCGCAAAAAGAAGAACCGAAAACGAAACAACGAAAAAAGAAAAUUGUUUGAAUACAGUGGAAACGAAGCGGUUUAAGUAAGAUUUACACAUCGUGAAGAAACGAAGCUUAAGAAAAUUUGUUUUGUGUUGGAAUUACGUCCCUAUCCCUACUAUUGAAUUAAACAAUUUAAAGAUGUAAGAAAAAAAAGAAAAUAUAAAGUAUUUUUUUUUUGCAAUUAGCGAUUUAGCAGACUAAAAAUCAGUCAAUGCAAAUAAAUAGAAAAAAGUGAAAUAAAUUUAAUAAACAAGAAAACAGUUCAUAAAAAAAACAAUGGUUCAAAAUCAAGAACAACUACAACAAUGUUUAGUUAUGUUGACACAAUUAGUUGUACAGAAUUCAAGAUCGUCAACCAGAAUCCAAAAAGAGUUGGAAUUAAUUCUAGCUUUCAAAGGAGAACCAGGAGAAUUACUGUCAUUCAUUGACAUCGUCAACAAAAAACUACAAGACUUGAAUGGCGAAGAAGAGAAGAAGACAGCUUUGGAAUAAUAUACCACUACAAAAUUUCUGGAGCAGCAAAGAACCUUCUAAGAAUCAACCCACCAGAGACCUGGAAAUAAAGUUGUAUGAUAUUGAUUUCUACAGCUGAAAUUAGUAAAAGUUGGUAAACUUAAGUAUUCAAAUCGAACAUUAAUAAUUGCAAUCAAGAUUCCAAGAAAUUAUGUAAAAGUAGAUCUUAAGCUUAUAUUUCCCAUAGCUGAUUCACACAACUAUGAAAUUGAUGAGUCAGAUGCACAUUUUGUUACAAUUGAAAAAAAAAUCUAGCAUAUGAAGAAAAUGAAAUGUAUAAAGAUAUAAAAACAAGUACACAUUGUAUAUUUACAAAUGAUUGUAAACUUAGAUUUAAUAAUAGAACAAUGAUAAAAUCAAUUGACGAAGAAGCAAUAAUAGUCAAAAAUGCUGUACAAGAAAAUCUGAUUCAAAAUUGCGAUGACAGAGUAAUAAAACUGAAUAAGAAUAAUAUAAGUUUUUAUAACUGUAGUAUAGAAAUUGAAAAAGAAAAAUUUUACAAUAAAAUUACUAAAAUAUAAGCUAAAUAUUUCUACCCUAGUAAUGAUGUAAAUAGAACCAUUCCAAAACUUGUAAAUUUCGAUAAUAUAAUGAUAGAACAUUUUGAAAACAUAAAUGAAAUAAAAAAAUUAAAACUCCGGCGAAAUAUUUCCUAUGCUUAAUCCGGCAAUAAUAAUCAUAGUUGUAUUAUCUGUAAUAAAAAUAUUUAUAUACUUCAGAAGAAACAAAGUGAAUGUAAAAAUUGUAAAUGAAAAAAUUGAGGAGAAUUCAAAAUCUGGCGGUGAAGGUGUUAUGAAUGUUAACAACACCGAUGUACAUAAUAACGACGGCAUCAGAUUCUCCAUGCCGUCAUCUAGAUUUUAAGUAUUUUUAUAUGUGUAAGUUAGAAACAUAAGAAUAGAGAAUAAAGAUUCAGUCAUUGUUUUGACAUGAA
Molecule: long non-coding RNA, 2300 nt
Organism: Eupeodes corollae
Lineage: Eukaryota; Metazoa; Arthropoda; Insecta; Diptera; Syrphidae
Exons: 5
Source: RefSeq, a predicted model, not a curated record